AAGACCCACCAUCAGAAUUCGCAUUUCCUUCUUGGCAAAAAGCCGGCUGAAAAGCUUCGUGAAUGUCAACCCCAUUGCUGCUUCUCAGCUAUUGAUCCCUUUCUGGAGAGAUUCGCAGAGGGAUCCGAGAGAGAAAUCACAGAGAGAACGAGGGCGCGAGAGUAGGAGAGAAGGAAAUGGGAGAAAAUAAGAGAAGAAGCUUAACAGCAACGCGUUAUGGAAG
Molecule: unclassified non-coding RNA, 223 nt
Filed under: Hevea brasiliensis (rubber tree)
Lineage: Eukaryota; Viridiplantae; Streptophyta; Magnoliopsida; Malpighiales; Euphorbiaceae
Source: RNAcentral